GGUCCCAUCGUCUAGAGGCCUAGGACACGUCCCUUUCACGGAUGAAACACGAGUUCGAAUCUCGUUGGGAUCACCA
RNAcentral lists this transfer RNA (76 nucleotides) under Lactobacillaceae bacterium. RNAcentral describes it as "tRNA-Glu". It matches the Rfam family "tRNA". From Rfam's summary of the family: Transfer RNA (tRNA) molecules are approximately 80 nucleotides in length. Their secondary structure includes four short double-helical elements and three loops (D, anti-codon, and T loops). Further hydrogen bonds mediate the characteristic L-shaped molecular structure. tRNAs have two regions of fundamental functional importance: the anti-codon, which is responsible for specific mRNA codon recognition, and the 3' end, to which the tRNAs corresponding amino acid is attached (by aminoacyl-tRNA synthetases). tRNAs cope with the degeneracy of the genetic code in two manners: having more than one tRNA (with a specific anti-codon) for a particular amino acid; and 'wobble' base-pairing, i.e. permitting non-standard base-pairing at the 3rd anti-codon position. Lineage: Bacteria; Bacillati; Bacillota; Bacilli; Lactobacillales; Lactobacillaceae. The record is from RNAcentral.